RNAcentral lists this ribosomal RNA (2902 nucleotides) under Klebsiella pneumoniae. RNAcentral describes it as "23S ribosomal RNA". It matches the Rfam family "Bacterial large subunit ribosomal RNA". RNAcentral also lists the same sequence under 3 other names. Lineage: Bacteria; Pseudomonadati; Pseudomonadota; Gammaproteobacteria; Enterobacterales; Enterobacteriaceae. The record is from RNAcentral.
GGUUAAGCGACUAAGCGUACACGGUGGAUGCCCUGGCAGUCAGAGGCGAUGAAGGACGUGCUAAUCUGCGAAAAGCGUCGGUAAGGUGAUAUGAACCGUUAUAACCGGCGAUGUCCGAAUGGGGAAACCCAGUGCAAUUCGUUGCACUAUCGUUAACUGAAUACAUAGGUUAACGAGGCGAACCGGGGGAACUGAAACAUCUAAGUACCCCGAGGAAAAGAAAUCAACCGAGAUUCCCCCAGUAGCGGCGAGCGAACGGGGAGCAGCCCAGAGUCUGAAUCAGCUUGUGUGUUAGUGGAACGGUCUGGAAAGUCCGACGGUACAGGGUGAUAGUCCCGUACACCAAAAUGCACAGGUUGUGAACUCGAAGAGUAGGGCGGGACACGUGGUAUCCUGUCUGAAUAUGGGGGGACCAUCCUCCAAGGCUAAAUACUCCUGACUGACCGAUAGUGAACCAGUACCGUGAGGGAAAGGCGAAAAGAACCCCGGCGAGGGGAGUGAAAAAGAACCUGAAACCGUGUACGUACAAGCAGUGGGAGCACCUUCGGGUGUGACUGCGUACCUUUUGUAUAAUGGGUCAGCGACUUAUAUUCUGUAGCAAGGUUAACCGUAUAGGGGAGCCGCAGGGAAACCGAGUCUUAACUGGGCGUUAAGUUGCAGGGUAUAGACCCGAAACCCGGUGAUCUAGCCAUGGGCAGGUUGAAGGUUGGGUAACACUAACUGGAGGACCGAACCGACUAAUGUUGAAAAAUUAGCGGAUGACUUGUGGCUGGGGGUGAAAGGCCAAUCAAACCGGGAGAUAGCUGGUUCUCCCCGAAAGCUAUUUAGGUAGCGCCUCGUGAAUUCAUCUUCGGGGGUAGAGCACUGUUUCGGCUAGGGGGUCAUCCCGACUUACCAACCCGAUGCAAACUACGAAUACCGAAGAAUGUUAUCACGGGAGACACACGGCGGGUGCUAACGUCCGUCGUGAAGAGGGAAACAACCCAGACCGCCAGCUAAGGUCCCAAAGUCAUGGUUAAGUGGGAAACGAUGUGGGAAGGCACAGACAGCCAGGAUGUUGGCUUAGAAGCAGCCAUCAUUUAAAGAAAGCGUAAUAGCUCACUGGUCGAGUCGGCCUGCGCGGAAGAUGUAACGGGGCUAAACCAUGCACCGAAGCUGCGGCAGCGACACUAUGUGUUGUUGGGUAGGGGAGCGUUCUGUAAGCCUGCGAAGGUGACCUGUGAGGGUUGCUGGAGGUAUCAGAAGUGCGAAUGCUGACAUAAGUAACGAUAAAGCGGGUGAAAAGCCCGCUCGCCGGAAGACCAAGGGUUCCUGUCCAACGUUAAUCGGGGCAGGGUGAGUCGACCCCUAAGGCGAGGCCGAAAGGCGUAGUCGAUGGGAAACAGGUUAAUAUUCCUGUACUUGGUGUUACUGCGAAGGGGGGACGGAGAAGGCUAUGUUAGCCGGGCGACGGUUGUCCCGGUUUAAGCAUGUAGGCUGGUUAUCCAGGCAAAUCCGGAUAAUCAAGGCUGAGGUGUGAUGACGAGGCACUACGGUGCUGAAGUAACAAAUGCCCUGCUUCCAGGAAAAGCCUCUAAGCAUCAGGUAACAUCAAAUCGUACCCCAAACCGACACAGGUGGUCAGGUAGAGAAUACCAAGGCGCUUGAGAGAACUCGGGUGAAGGAACUAGGCAAAAUGGUGCCGUAACUUCGGGAGAAGGCACGCUGGUGUGUAGGUGAAGCCCCUGCGGGUGGAGCUGAGACCAGUCGAAGAUACCAGCUGGCUGCAACUGUUUAUUAAAAACACAGCACUGUGCAAACACGAAAGUGGACGUAUACGGUGUGACGCCUGCCCGGUGCCGGAAGGUUAAUUGAUGGGGUUAUCCGUAAGGAGAAGCUCUUGAUCGAAGCCCCGGUAAACGGCGGCCGUAACUAUAACGGUCCUAAGGUAGCGAAAUUCCUUGUCGGGUAAGUUCCGACCUGCACGAAUGGCGUAAUGAUGGCCAGGCUGUCUCCACCCGAGACUCAGUGAAAUUGAACUCGCUGUGAAGAUGCAGUGUACCCGCGGCAAGACGGAAAGACCCCGUGAACCUUUACUAUAGCUUGACACUGAACAUUGAGCCUUGAUGUGUAGGAUAGGUGGGAGGCUUUGAAGCGUGGACGCCAGUCUGCGUGGAGCCAACCUUGAAAUACCACCCUUUAAUGUUUGAUGUUCUAACGUUGGCCCCUUACCGGGGUUGCGGACAGUGUCUGGUGGGUAGUUUGACUGGGGCGGUCUCCUCCCAAAGCGUAACGGAGGAGCACGAAGGUUAGCUAAUCCUGGUCGGACAUCAGGAGGUUAGUGCAAUGGCAUAAGCUAGCUUGACUGCGAGCGUGACGGCGCGAGCAGGUGCGAAAGCAGGUCAUAGUGAUCCGGUGGUUCUGAAUGGAAGGGCCAUCGCUCAACGGAUAAAAGGUACUCCGGGGAUAACAGGCUGAUACCGCCCAAGAGUUCAUAUCGACGGCGGUGUUUGGCACCUCGAUGUCGGCUCAUCACAUCCUGGGGCUGAAGUAGGUCCCAAGGGUAUGGCUGUUCGCCAUUUAAAGUGGUACGCGAGCUGGGUUUAGAACGUCGUGAGACAGUUCGGUCCCUAUCUGCCGUGGGCGCUGGAGAAUUGAGGGGGGCUGCUCCUAGUACGAGAGGACCGGAGUGGACGCAUCACUGGUGUUCGGGUUGUCAUGCCAAUGGCACUGCCCGGUAGCUAAAUGCGGAAGAGAUAAGUGCUGAAAGCAUCUAAGCACGAAACUUGCCCCGAGAUGAGUUCUCCCUGAGACUUUAAGUCUCCUGAAGGAACGUUGAAGACGACGACGUUGAUAGGCCGGGUGUGUAAGCGCAGCGAUGCGUUGAGCUAACCGGUACUAAUGAACCGUGAGGCUUAACCUU